UCUCUUUAGAUCACCGAAGUCAAGCAUCAUUGGGCGCGGUCAGUACUUGGGUGGGUGACCACCUGGGAACACCGCGUGUCGUU
This 83-nucleotide ribosomal RNA is filed under the name Caerostris darwini. The record is from RNAcentral. Lineage: Eukaryota; Metazoa; Arthropoda; Arachnida; Araneae; Araneidae.